AUUUGCUCUUUUUUCGAGCUUAUUCUUAUUUACUGUGAACUGUAUUAUUAUGUGAUGUUUGAGGGAUGCUUGAGGACUAUAUGGAUAGGUCCGCAGGAUGUUAACCGAGUCAUGAUCGUGCUUAGGCACGGUAUCCUAUUAUUAUUUACCAAAAGAAUUCAGUAUAAAAUAUUGUAACAUAGACGUAAAAAAUCUAUAAAAACAACUUUUAACAACGGAUCUCUUGGUUCUCGCAUCGAUGAAGAACGUAGCAAAGUGCGAUAACUAGUGUGAAUUGCAUAUUCAGUGAAUCAUCGAGUCUUUGAACGCAACUUGCACUCAUUGGUAUUCCAAUGAGUACGCCUGUUUCAGUAUCAAAAACACCCCACAUUCCCAACUUUUUUUGUUGUUGAAUGGACUUGAGAGUUUUUACGGUCGCUUCUGUGGCUGUACUCUUUAAAAUCAUAAGGCCUGAACUUGUUUAGUCUGCCUGAACUUUUUUUUAAUAUAAAAGAAAGCUCUUGUCAAAAUAAACUCUGUAUGGGGGCCUCCCAAAUAAUACAUUUCUUAAAUUUGAUC
This 558-nucleotide unclassified non-coding RNA is filed under the name fungal sp. JH 215. RNAcentral describes it as "sequence contains 18S rRNA gene, ITS1, 5.8S rRNA gene, ITS2 and 28S rRNA gene". The stretch from base 204 to 356 matches the Rfam family "5.8S ribosomal RNA". The record is from RNAcentral. Lineage: Eukaryota; Fungi.